Molecule: ribosomal RNA, 390 nt
Filed under: uncultured bacterium
Lineage: Bacteria
Description: bacterial SSU rRNA
Rfam family: Bacterial small subunit ribosomal RNA
Source: RNAcentral
GACGAACGCUGGCGGCGUGCUUAACACAUGCAAGUCGAACGGGAUUUAGUAGACAGAAGCUUCGGUGGAAGAUUACUAAUGAGAGUGGCGAACGGGUGAGUAACGCGUGAGCAACCUGCCUAUGACAGUGGGAUAGCCUCGGGAAACCGGGAUUAAUACCGCAUAAAAUCGUAGAAACACAUGUUUUAACGGUCAAAGAUUUAUCGGUCAUAGAUGGGCUCGCGUCUGAUUAGCUAGUUGGUGAGAUAACAGCCCACCAAGGCGACGAUCAGUAGCCGGUCUGAGAGGAUGAACGGCCACAUUGGAACUGAGACACGGUCCAAACUCCUACGGGAGCAGCAGUGGGGAAUAUUGCACAAUGGGGGAAACCCUGAUGCAGCGACGCGCGUG